RNAcentral lists this long non-coding RNA (758 nucleotides) under Amborella trichopoda. RNAcentral describes it as "long non-coding RNA (ATRI_LNC003632)". The record is from RNAcentral. Lineage: Eukaryota; Viridiplantae; Streptophyta; Magnoliopsida; Amborellales; Amborellaceae.
UCCCAUGACCCACAAACCAUCGCAGAAGUUCAUGAUUGAGCCACCAAAGCCAGCCAUUAGGUGAGGGGAUACAAUCUCAGUCUAUGGACUAGAGAUUCUCUCUUAAAAACGAGUCCAAGGUCUCAAAGACCUGGUGCAACAAUAAUUCUAUGGUGCAUAGGGGUCAUCUCUCGCACAUGUACACGUAUCACCUUCAAUGAUGUCUCUCUUUCCCAAUACGGCUAUCAUAUGUGCAUGUCGUAUGAUGGUUCAAUGAUGAGACUUUGGCCCUGGUCUCUACAAGCCUACCAUCACACACAAGGGUCAUACAGUCCCUUGGCUCACUAACUCAGGCAACUUCGACCUAUCAAGGGAUAACCCUACUUACCCUCCUCUGUUGUGCUCUAUGCCCAGGUAAUUAAGGGUUUUCCAACUUGACUGGUCUAACACGUUAAGCUUAGUUUGAGUUUAUCCCUACUUACCCUCCUCUGUUGGACCAUAAUCUCUUGGUCCCUCUGGACCACUCUCCCACUGGAGUAUAUUGUUCCACUAUAGUAAAUUUGGUUACAUGCUCUCAUACAGCCUUUAGUGGCCACAAAUACCCAAUAUAUUCCACUAUCAAAUAUCCUAUUUACAAGUUCUAUAGGCCUUUAAAUGCCACAAAACCCAACACAAACAUUUUCCUUGGGCAUAUCUUCGACCUCAACAAGGGAUUACCCUUCAGAAAACCCUCAACGGUAGUGGGUAUACCUAGGGGCAAGGGUUUUGGAUAUUCCUGG